UACGUAGGGGGCGAGCGUUGUCCGGAUUUAUUGGGCGUAAAGAGCUCGUAGGCGGUUCGGUAAGUCGGAUGUGAAAUCUCCACGCUCAACGUGGAGGGGCCAUUCGAUACUGCCGUGACUCGAGUCCGGUAGGGGAGUGUGGAAUUCCCGGUGUAGCGGUGAAAUGCGUAGAGAUGGGGGAGAACACUCGUGGCGAAGGCGGCCAGCUAGACCAGUUCUGACACUGAGGCGCGACAGCGUGGGGAGCAAACAGG
This 254-nucleotide ribosomal RNA is filed under the name uncultured bacterium. Its description in RNAcentral is "partial 16S ribosomal RNA". It matches the Rfam family "Bacterial small subunit ribosomal RNA", at positions 524 to 776 of the family's 1533-position model. The record is from RNAcentral.